CUCUUCCAUCAUAGAAGCUCAUCCGAAAUUCAUCCGCUGGAGAAGUUCGGACGGGCUUCGGCUCUCGCGAAAGGUCGAAAAGGGACCGCUUAUUGCGGAAGCUCGGGCGAGGACCAGUUGUUGUGGAAGCUUGGAGUAGUGUCCUGCUAUAGAAGCUCAUCCAGGGCUCACUCGCUACGGGGUAGCUCGGUUGAAGUCUACCUGUGGUAGAAAUUCAGAAGAAAUUUAUUUAUGAUAGAGGCUUGAGUCAGAAUUUGCUUACAAUAGAGGUCCAGGGUAGAUCGCCCGCUGUAGGGGUUUGGAGUAGACCGCUCGUAGCAGGAGUUCGGAGAAGACCGCUCGUAGUAGAAGGUUGGCUCUCGUAGGAGCUCGGCUGGAACUGCUCGUAGCAGGAGUUCGGAGAAGACCGCUCGUAGUAGAAGGUCGGCUCUCGCAGGAGCUCGACUGGAAUCCUGAAGGCGGUCGACCACCGUAGAAACUUGGAAGGAGUCUGGUUACCGUAGAAAUCUCGUUAUCGGGGAAG
RNAcentral lists this long non-coding RNA (523 nucleotides) under Elaeis guineensis (African oil palm). RNAcentral describes it as "long non-coding RNA (EGUI_LNC041735)". Lineage: Eukaryota; Viridiplantae; Streptophyta; Magnoliopsida; Arecales; Arecaceae. The record is from RNAcentral.